AUGCGCCUCUCCGGUCCGCGUCUUCUGUCUCCCCACCCCCAGCGGGGGCAGAAGAGGGCGCAGCUGUCCUCUCACCCCCUCCUUCGCCCCCCACCCCGCUCUCCCCACCGCCAGCUUUGUAUAUUCUCUGCCUGUCCACGGAGAAGAGGCGGCCCACGCUGUUCUCCGGGCGCGAGGAUUCAUAACUCUGUCUGGCUGUUCAACUUACCCCCCGUGUUGAAUUGUGUUUCUUCUGGUAAGGAGAGCCCCAGGGGAGGAAGGGGAAGUGGGCAUGAACCCCUCUCCAGCAGGCACAGAGGGUGUUCUGGUAUUGGCUGUGGUUUUGUUUGUGUGUGUGGGGGGUUCCGCCAUACCUCCCUGUCCUCACUGUCUCAGUCCUUCUGGAACCUUGGUGGGAGCCUAGAUGUGUUGAGUGGAGGGAUGUGGGCCAGAUCCUGGGGUCCCUCCUUAGUUGGUGAGAUAGGGGCUCCAGGGCUGGUGGUCUGCAUGAGCCCUGGGAAGCUGAGAUGGACAGGCCUUUCAUGCUCACUUGGUCCUUACUUCCCUCCUUUGAUUUCAGAGGUAGGACUCUGAGACCUGGAAAGUAAUGACGUGCCCAGGCCUCUGGUGGGCCCCACAUCAUCCCCCCAGCUGUCCCUAGC
This 641-nucleotide long non-coding RNA is filed under the name Mustela putorius furo (domestic ferret). Its description in RNAcentral is "lncRNA (ENSMPUG00000026824.1)". Lineage: Eukaryota; Metazoa; Chordata; Mammalia; Carnivora; Mustelidae. The record is from RNAcentral.